GAUGAACGCUGGCGGCGUGCCUAAUACAUGCAAGUCGAGCGAACAGAUGAGGAGCUUGCUCCUCUGACGUUAGCGGCGGACGGGUGAGUAACACGUGGAUAACCUACCUAUAAGACUGGGAUAACUUCGGGAAACCGGAGCUAAUACCGGAUAAUAUAUUGAACCGCACGGUUCAAUAGUGAAAGACGGUUUUGCUGUCACUUAUAGAUGGAUCCGCGCCGCAUUAGCUAGUUGGUAAGGUAACGGCUUACCAAGGCAACGAUGCGUAGCCGACCUGAGAGGGUGAUCGGCCACACUGGAACUGAGACACGGUCCAGACUCCUACGGGAGGCAGCAGUAGGGAAUCUUCCGCAAUGGGCGAAAGCUUGACGGAGCAACGCCGCGUGAGUGAUGAAGGUCUUCGGAUCGUAAAACUCUGUUAUUAGGGAAGAACAAAUGUGUAAGUAACUAUGCACGUCUUGACGGUACCUAAUCAGAAAGCCACGGCUAACUACGUG
This 497-nucleotide ribosomal RNA is filed under the name uncultured bacterium. RNAcentral's name for it is "partial 16S ribosomal RNA". It matches the Rfam family "Bacterial small subunit ribosomal RNA", at positions 28 to 507 of the family's 1533-position model. The record is from RNAcentral.